AGGCACAGGACGUGAGCAGCAGAUUGUAAUCCAGUCUUCUGGUGGGUUAAGCAAAGAUGAUAUUGAAAAUAUGGUUAAAAAUGCAGAGAAAUAUGCUGAAGAAGACCGGCGAAAGAAGGUGAUUACUUUUUGUCUUCUGAACUUUAAUCUCAGUAAAGCUCAGUCUUGAAAGUGGGAGUUUGGGGCUGGGCGCAGUGUCUCACUCCUGUGAUCCCAGCACUGUAAGCCCACUGCCAAGGUGAGCAGAUUGUUUGAAGCCGGGCGUGGUGGUGCACGCCUGUAGUCCCAGCUACUUGGGAGGCUCAGGCAGGAGAAUCGCUUGAACAAGAAAGUGGGAGAGUUUGGACAUGUCAUAGGUUGUGGGUAAGAGAAAACCUAAGAUAAUCUAUUCUUCCUUCCCCGUUGCUUAUACCUUAUGUGUGCAGUGCAUUUCUUCUGUUUUCCCUGUCACAAUUCUGAUGUUACAGAAUCUAGCCCAAAUCUCUCUCAAAGCCAUCCCAGACUACUUCAUGCCACUCUGAUUUCUCCCUCUUACUGUUUUUACCUGAAACUGUAUGUAACACAUAGCUUAUUGUCUUACUGAGUAUAGACAUUUAGCAGACUUUGGUUGAUUGGAAAGUCUUCGUUUAAACUUCUAAUUUCUCUAAGGAACGAGUUGAAGCAGUUAAUAUGGCUGAAGGAAUCAUUCACGACACAGAAACCAAGAUGGAAGAAUUCAAGGACCAAUUACCUGCUGAUGAGUGCAACAAGCUGAAAGAAGAGAUUUCCAAAAUGAGGGAGCUCCUGGCUAGAAAAGACAGCGAAACAGGAGAAAAUAUUAGACAGGCAGCAUCCUCUCUUCAGCAGGCAUCAUUGAAGCUCUUCGAAAUGGCAUACAAAAAGAUGGCAUCUGAGCGAGAAGGCUCUGGAAGUUCUGGCACUGGGGAACAAAAGGAAGAUCAAAAGGAGGAAAAACAGUAAUAAUAGCAGAAAUUUUGAAGCCAGAAGGACAACAUAUGAAGCUUAGGAGUGAAGAGACUUCCUGAGCAGAAAUGGGCGAACUUCAGUCUUUUUACUGUGUUUUUGCAGUAUUCUAUAUAUAAUUUCCUUAAUUUGUAAAUUUAGUGACCAUUAGCUAGUGAUCAUUUAAUGGACGGUGAUUCUAACAGUAUAAAGUUCACAAUAUUCUAU
RNAcentral lists this small RNA (1170 nucleotides) under Pongo abelii (Sumatran orangutan). Its description in RNAcentral is "retained intron". Lineage: Eukaryota; Metazoa; Chordata; Mammalia; Primates; Hominidae. The record is from RNAcentral.